GGUUAAGUUCAAGUGCCCAUUUUGCAUGCCCUAUGAAUACUCACAAACUGAAAAAAAUAACAUAACCAUUGACAUGAUUGAUAAAGGCAAGAUGAGGAAAUGAAUUUCUUUUUGUAAGUUUAACACAAAGGUACCCAAAUUGCACCUAUUUUGACAUGUAUUUACAUCUACAUUUACUUAUGAUCCAGACAAAAGUUUUCAUUCUGGCUUAAUUUUGUAAUUUGUAGAUGUAUCCUUAUUUACUAUAAGUUCAAACAUAUAAAUUUUGAAUCCAUAUUGCAUCAUAAAAAAAUAGGUUUGAACCAACUUCCAAAUGACCCAAGAUUCUAUAAUGAGAAGUAGUGAAAUUGCUUCCAUGCGUAAAUUCACAUAUAUGUAACACAUUUUUUUCUUCAAAUAUU
RNAcentral lists this long non-coding RNA (401 nucleotides) under Mytilus galloprovincialis (Mediterranean mussel). The record is from RNAcentral. Lineage: Eukaryota; Metazoa; Mollusca; Bivalvia; Mytilida; Mytilidae.